CACUUUUAGUAAGAGGAGAUAUCAUCCUAUGCAUUCUCUCUCUAGAUGACUCAAGAAGUCUUUGGCCAGAGUAAGAUGAAGAUUAGAUAAGAUUUUUAAUGCUUCAUCAUUGGAGUCAUCAUUGAUUGAUGGAGAAUUAAUAUAAAUAUAUGUUUAAGUGUGACAUGUUUCCAUACUCAUGAACAUAUUCGGGAUGCGGG
This 200-nucleotide long non-coding RNA is filed under the name Elaeis guineensis (African oil palm). RNAcentral's name for it is "long non-coding RNA (EGUI_LNC054124)". The record is from RNAcentral. Lineage: Eukaryota; Viridiplantae; Streptophyta; Magnoliopsida; Arecales; Arecaceae.